UAGGGAAUCUUCCACAAUGGACGCAAGUCUGAUGGAGCAACGCCGCGUGAGUGAAGAAGGUUUUCGGAUCGUAAAGCUCUGUUGUUGGUGAAGAAGGAUAGAGGCAGUAGCUGGUCUUUAUUUGACGGUAAUCAACCAGAAAGUCACGGCUAACUACGUGCCAGCAGCCGCGGUAAUACGUAGGUGGCAAGCGUUGUCCGGAUUUAUUGGGCGUAAAGCGAGCGCAGGCGGAAUGAUAAGUCUGAUGUGAAAGCCCACGGCUCAACCGUGGAACUGCCUCGGAAACUGUCAGUCUUGAGUGCAGAAGAGGAGAGUGGAAUUCCAUGUGUAGCGGUGGAAUGCGUAGAUAUAUGGGAGAACACCAGUGGCGAAGGCGGCUCUCUGGUCUGCAACUGACGCUGAGGCUAGAAAGCAUGGGUAGCGAACAGG
This 429-nucleotide ribosomal RNA is filed under the name bacterium. RNAcentral describes it as "partial 16S ribosomal RNA". It matches the Rfam family "Bacterial small subunit ribosomal RNA", at positions 355 to 776 of the family's 1533-position model. The record is from RNAcentral.